Molecule: small nuclear RNA, 107 nt
Organism: Lepus europaeus (European hare)
Lineage: Eukaryota; Metazoa; Chordata; Mammalia; Lagomorpha; Leporidae
Source: RefSeq, a predicted model, not a curated record
GUGCUUGCUUCAGCAGCACACAUACUAAAAUUGGGACAAUGCAGAGAUGAUUAAUAUCGCCCCUGCAUAAGGAUGACACACAAAUUUGUGAAGUGUUGUGUAUUUUU